CAGACUGUACUUUCAGGGAUCAUUUCUAUAGUUGGUGACUAGAGAAAUGGGUCCAAAAGUGAUAUCUUUUAUUAGACCAACUGAGUAGUUGG
Molecule: small nucleolar RNA, 92 nt
Organism: Alligator mississippiensis (American alligator)
Lineage: Eukaryota; Metazoa; Chordata; Crocodylia; Alligatoridae
Rfam family: Small nucleolar RNA U3
About the family: Small nucleolar RNAs (snoRNAs) are involved in the processing and modification of rRNA in the nucleolus.
Source: Rfam